UACGUAGGCAGCGAGCGUUGUUCGGAAUUACUGGGCGUAAAGAGUGUGUAGGCGGUGCUCUAAGUUCGGUGUGAAAUCUCCUGGCUCAACUGGGAGGGUGCGCCGGAAACUGGAGUGCUUGAGCGUGGGAGAGGAAAGCGGAAUUCCUGGUGUAGUGGUGAAAUGCGUAGAUAUCCGGAGGAACACCAAUGGCGAAGGCAGUGUCCUGGGAAGUACCUGACCGCUCAGGUGCGAAAGCUAGGGGAGCGAACAGG
This 254-nucleotide ribosomal RNA is filed under the name uncultured bacterium. RNAcentral's name for it is "partial 16S ribosomal RNA". It matches the Rfam family "Bacterial small subunit ribosomal RNA", at positions 524 to 776 of the family's 1533-position model. The record is from RNAcentral.